This 434-nucleotide ribosomal RNA is filed under the name uncultured Ruminococcus sp. RNAcentral's name for it is "partial 16S ribosomal RNA". It matches the Rfam family "Bacterial small subunit ribosomal RNA", at positions 341 to 792 of the family's 1533-position model. The record is from RNAcentral. Lineage: Bacteria; Bacillati; Bacillota; Clostridia; Eubacteriales; Oscillospiraceae.
ACGGAAGGCAGCAGUGGGGAAUAUUGCACAAUGGGGGAAACCCUGAUGCAGCGAUGCCGCGUGGAGGAAGAAGGUUUUCGGAUUGUAAACUCCUGUCUUAAGGGACGAUAAUGACGGUACCUUAGGAGGAAGCUCCGGCUAACUACGUGCCAGCAGCCGCGGUACUACGUAGGGAGCGAGCGUUGUCCGGAAUUACUGGGUGUAAAGGGAGCGUAGGCGGGAUGGUAAGUCAGAUGUGAAAUCUAUGGGCUCAACCCAUAGACUGCAUUUGAAACUGCUGUUCUUGAGUGAAGUAGAGGUAAGCGGAAUUCCUAGUGUAGCGGUGAAAUGCGUAGAUAUUAGGAGGAACAUCGGUGGCGAAGGCGGCUUACUGGGCUUUUACUGACGCUGAGGCUCGAAAGCGUGGGGAGCAAACAGGAUUAGAUACCCUGGUA